GAUUGGGUGCUUGCAUCAUGAUUUACAUUUGAGUGAGUGGCGAACUGGUGAGUAACACGUGGGAAACCUGCCCAGAAGCGGGGGAUAACACCUGGAAACAGAUGCUAAUACCGCAUAACAACUUGGACCGCAUGGUCCGAGCUUGAAAGAUGGCUUCGGCUAUCACUUUUGGAUGGUCCCGCGGCGUAUUAGCUAGAUGGUGGGGUAACGGCUCACCAUGGCAAUGAUACGUAGCCGACCUGAGAGGGUAAUCGGCCACAUUGGGACUGAGACACGGCCCAAACUCCUACGGGAGGCAGCAGUAGGGAAUCUUCCACAAUGGACGAAAGUCUGAUGGAGCAACGCCGCGUGAGUGAAGAAGGGUUUCGGCUCGUAAAACUCUGUUGUUAAAGAAGAACAUAUCUGAGAGUAACUGUUCAGGUAUUGACGGUAUUUAACCAGAAAGCCACGGCUAACUACGUGCCAGCAGCCGCGGUAAUACGUAGGUGGCAAGCGUUGUCCGGAUUUAUUGGGCGUAAAGCGAGCGCAGGCGGUUUUUUAAGUCUGAUGUGAAAGCCUUCGGCUCAACCGAAGAAGUGCAUCGGAAACUGGGAAACUUGAGUGCAGAAGAGGACAGUGGAACUCCAUGUGUAGCGGUGAAAUGCGUAGAUAUAUGGAAGAACACCAGUGGCGAAGGCGGCUGUCUGGUCUGUAACUGACGCUGAGGCUCGAAAGUAUGGGUAGCAAACAGGAUUAGAUACCCUGGUAGUCCAUACCGUAAACGAUGAAUGCUAAGUGUUGGAGGGUUUCCGCCCUUCAGUGCUGCAGCUAACGCAUUAAGCAUUCCGCCUGGGGAGUACGGCCGCAAGGCUGAAACUCAAAGGAAUUGACGGGGGCCCGCACAAGCGGUGGAGCAUGUGGUUUAAUUCGAAGCUACGCGAAGAACCUUACCAGGUCUUGACAUACUAUGCAAAUCUAAGAGAUUAGACGUUCCCUUCGGGGACAUGGAUACAGGUGGUGCAUGGUUGUCGUCAGCUCGUGUCGUGAGAUGUUGGGUUAAGUCCCGCAACGAGCGCAACCCUUAUUAUCAGUUGCCAGCAUUAAGUUGGGCACUCUGGUGAGACUGCCGGUGACAAACCGGAGGAAGGUGGGGAUGACGUCAAAUCAUCAUGCCCCUUAUGACCUGGGCUACACACGUGCUACAAUGGAUGGUACAACGAGUUGCGAACUCGCGAGAGUAAGCUAAUCUCUUAAAGCCAUUCUCAGUUCGGAUUGUAGGCUGCAACUCGCCUACAUGAAGUCGGAAUCGCUAGUAAUCGCGGAUCAGCAUGCCGCGGUGAAUACGUUCCCGGGCCUUGUACACACCGCCCGUCACACCAUGAGAGUUUGUAACACCCAAAGUCGG
RNAcentral lists this ribosomal RNA (1384 nucleotides) under Lactiplantibacillus plantarum. RNAcentral describes it as "bacterial SSU rRNA". It matches the Rfam family "Bacterial small subunit ribosomal RNA", at positions 70 to 1430 of the family's 1533-position model. The record is from RNAcentral. Lineage: Bacteria; Bacillati; Bacillota; Bacilli; Lactobacillales; Lactobacillaceae.